AUUUCCACGCAACCCCACACCUCACGACACCCUUUUUCUAUUGGUCUAAAUUUAUAAACUCAACGCAGAGGAAGAAUUCUUGAAAUUUGACAAGCUGAUGUUGCUGUGUUUUUCGUGUACAGAUGGAGGACGAAUUAGAAGAAGAAGAGGGAUGUAUAUCUUAUGUUUAUGUAAAUGAUCAUCGUAUAUUUGUGCUUAUGUCGUAAAUAAUUGGAAUAUUGAAUUUGUACUGUGAAAAUUAUGGUGAAAGAGAAAAGGGAUAUUAGGCCGGAGCUUUUGAAAUUUGG
This 287-nucleotide long non-coding RNA is filed under the name Olea europaea (common olive). Its description in RNAcentral is "long non-coding RNA (OEUR_LNC003630)". Lineage: Eukaryota; Viridiplantae; Streptophyta; Magnoliopsida; Lamiales; Oleaceae. The record is from RNAcentral.